This 546-nucleotide ribosomal RNA is filed under the name uncultured bacterium. RNAcentral describes it as "partial 16S ribosomal RNA". It matches the Rfam family "Bacterial small subunit ribosomal RNA", at positions 355 to 893 of the family's 1533-position model. The record is from RNAcentral.
UAGGGAAUCUUCCACAAUGGACGCAAGUCUGAUGGAGCAACGCCGCGUGAGUGAAGAAGGCUUUCGGGUCGUAAAACUCUGUUAUUGAAGAAGAACGUGUGUGACAGUAACUGGUCAUGCAGUGACGGUAUUCAAUCAGAAAGUCACGGCUAACUACGUGCCAGCAGCCGCGGUAAUACGUAGGUGGCAAGCGUUGUCCGGAUUUAUUGGGCGUAAAGCGAGUGCAGGCGGUCUUUUAAGUCUGAUGUGAAAGCCUUCGGCUUAACCGAAGAAGGGCAUCGGAAACUGGGAGACUUGAGUGCAGAAGAGGAGAGUGGAACUCCAUGUGUAGCGGUGAAAUGCGUAGAUAUAUGGAAGAACACCAGUGGCGAAGGCGGCUCUCUGGUCUGUAACUGACGCUGAGGCUCGAAAGCGUGGGUAGCAAACAGGAUUAGAUACCCUGGUAGUCCACGCCGUAACGAUGAAUACUAAGUGUUGGAGGGUUUCCGCCCUUCGGUGCUGCAGCUAACGCAUUAAGUAUUCCGCCUGGGGAGUACGACCGCAAGG